This 424-nucleotide ribosomal RNA is filed under the name uncultured bacterium. RNAcentral's name for it is "partial 16S ribosomal RNA". It matches the Rfam family "Bacterial small subunit ribosomal RNA", at positions 360 to 776 of the family's 1533-position model. The record is from RNAcentral.
AAUCUUGGACAAUGGGGGAAACCCUGAUCCAGCAAUGCCGCGUGCAGGAUGAAGGCCUUCGUGUUUUAAACUGCUUUUGUACGGAACGAAAAGUCUUGGGCUCAUACCCUUGGAUCAUGACUGUACCGUAAGAAUAAGCACCGGCUAACUCCUUGCCUGCAGCCGCGGUAAUACGUAGGGUGCAAGCGUUAAUCGGAAUUACUGGGCGUAAAGCGUGAGCAGGCGGUAUUGUAAGACAGUGGUGAAAUCCCCGGGCUCAACCUGGGAACUGCCAUUGUGACUGCAAGGCUGGAGUGCGGCAGAGGGGGAUGGAAUUCCGCGUGUAGCAGUGAAAUGCGUAGAGAUGCGGAGGAACACCGAUGGCGAAGGCAAUCCCCUGGGCCUGCACUGACGCUCAUGCACGAAAGCGUGGGGAGCAAACAGG